RNAcentral lists this ribosomal RNA (187 nucleotides) under uncultured Staphylococcus sp. Its description in RNAcentral is "partial 16S ribosomal RNA". It matches the Rfam family "Bacterial small subunit ribosomal RNA", at positions 152 to 334 of the family's 1533-position model. Lineage: Bacteria; Bacillati; Bacillota; Bacilli; Caryophanales; Staphylococcaceae. The record is from RNAcentral.
GGAAACCGGAGCUAAUACCGGAUAAUAUUUUGAACCGCAUGGUUCAAAAGUGAAAGACGGUCUUGCUGUCACUUAUAGAUGGAUCCGCGCUGCAUUAGCUAGUUGUAAGGUAACGGCUUACCAAGGCAACGAUGCAUAGCCGACCUGAGAGGGUGAUCGGCCACACUGGAACUGAGACACGGUCCAG